CCUGUUUAACAAAAACAUGUCUUUUUGAGUUAUUUUUAAAGUCUGACCUGCCCACUGAAAUUAUUUAAAUGGCCGCAGUAUUCUAACUGUGCAAAGGUAGCAUAAUCAUUAGUCUUUUAAUUGAAGGCUGGUAUGAACGGUUGGACGAGGUAUAAGCUGUUUCAUAUAAAUUUAUAGUAGAAUUUUAUAUUUUAGUCAAAAAGCUAAAAUUUAAUUAAAAGACGAGAAGACCCUAUAAAUCUUUAUAUUUUAUAUUAUUUAAAUUUUUUGGAUUUGGUUUAUUUUUAUAUUAUAAAAUAUUUUGUUGGGGUGAUAUUAAAAUUUAAUGAACUUUUAGUUAUUUAAAAUCAUUAAUUUAUGAGUUAUUGAUCCAUUAGUAGUGAUUAUAAGAUUAAGUUACUUUAGGGAUAACAGCGUAAUUUUUUUGGAGAGUUCAUAUCGAUAAAAAAGUUUGCGACCUCGAUGUUGGAUUAAGAUAUAUUUUUAGGUGUAGCCGCUUAAAU
This 503-nucleotide ribosomal RNA is filed under the name Bactrocera bryoniae. Its description in RNAcentral is "partial large subunit ribosomal RNA". It matches the Rfam family "Bacterial large subunit ribosomal RNA", at positions 1799 to 2568 of the family's 2925-position model. The record is from RNAcentral. Lineage: Eukaryota; Metazoa; Arthropoda; Insecta; Diptera; Tephritidae.